RNAcentral lists this ribosomal RNA (253 nucleotides) under uncultured bacterium. RNAcentral's name for it is "partial 16S ribosomal RNA". It matches the Rfam family "Bacterial small subunit ribosomal RNA", at positions 524 to 776 of the family's 1533-position model. The record is from RNAcentral.
UACGGAGGGGGCUAGCGUUGUUCGGAAUUACUGGGCGUAAAGGGCUCGUAGGCGGCCAACUAAGUCAUACGUGAAAUCCCUCGGCUUAACCGGGGAACUGCGUCUGAUACUGGAUGGCUUGAGAUUGGGAGAGGGAUGCGGAAUUCCAGGUGUAGCGGUGAAAUGCGUAGAUAUCUGGAGGAACACCGGUGGCGAAGGCGGCAUCCUGGACCAACACUGACGCUGAGGAGCGAAAGCCAGGGGAGCAAACGGG